RNAcentral lists this ribosomal RNA (494 nucleotides) under uncultured bacterium. RNAcentral's name for it is "partial 16S ribosomal RNA". It matches the Rfam family "Bacterial small subunit ribosomal RNA", at positions 28 to 507 of the family's 1533-position model. The record is from RNAcentral.
GACGAACGCUGGCGGCGUGCUUAACACAUGCAAGUCGAACGGUGAGGCGCGUUCCUCUUUGGGGGGUGUGGAUGAGUGGCGAACGGGUGAGUAACACGUGAGUAACGUGCCCCCUUCCUCUUGAUAACCGCAAGCAAGUGUGGAUCAUACGGAAUAUUCUAUGUCUGUCUCACGAUGGGUCUGGGAAGGAGAUUGUUCCGGUGGGGGAUGGGCUCGCGGCCUAUCAGCUUGGUGGUGGGGUGAAGGCCUACCAGGGCGGGGACGAGUAGCCGGCCUGAGAGGGUCGACGGUCAUACUGGGACUGCGCCACGGCACCGACUCCGAGGGGCGGCAGCAGUGAAGAAUAUGGCACAAUGGGAGGCAUGCUGAAGCAGCGCCGCCGCGUGAGGGAUGGCCUUCGUCGGGUUGAGAACCUCUUUCGCCAGUGAAGGAGGCUUGCCUUGAUUGUGGGUGCGUUGACGGUAGCUGGAUAAGAAGCGCCGGCUAACUACGUG